RNAcentral lists this ribosomal RNA (208 nucleotides) under uncultured bacterium. RNAcentral's name for it is "partial 16S ribosomal RNA". It matches the Rfam family "Bacterial small subunit ribosomal RNA", at positions 568 to 774 of the family's 1533-position model. The record is from RNAcentral.
CUCGUAGGCGGUUCGUCGCGUCCGGUGUGAAAGUCCAUCGCUUAACGGUGGAUCCGCGCCGGGUACGGGCGGGCUUGAGUGCGGUAGGGGAGACUGGAAUUCCCGGUGUAACGGUGGAAUGUGUAGAUAUCGGGAAGAACACCGAUGGCGAAGGCAGCCCCCCUGGGAUAACACUGACGUUCAUGCUCGAAAGCGUGGGUAGCAAACA